CCUGAUUAGAGGGGAAUCACCCACCUGGUGUCCCAGGUCUAAAUCAGUCCCUGAUUAGAGGGGAAUCACCCACCUGGUGUCCCAGGUCUAAACCAGGCCCUGAUUAGAGUGGAAUCACCCACCUGGUGUCCCAGGUCUAAAUCAGGCCCUGAUUAGAGGGGAAUCACCCACCUGGUGUCCCAGGUCUAAAUCAGGCCCUGAUUAGAGGGGAAUAACCCACCUGGUGUCCCAGGUCUAAAUCAGGCCCUGAUUAGAGGGGAAUAACCCACCUGGUGUCCCAGGUCUAAAUCAGGCCCUGAUUAGAGGGGAAUAACCCACCUGGUGUCCCAGGUCUAAAUCAGGCCCUGAUUAGAGGGGAAUAACCCACCUGGUGUCCCAGGUCUAAACCAGGCCCUGAU
This is a long non-coding RNA of Oncorhynchus keta (chum salmon), 398 nucleotides long. RefSeq lists it as uncharacterized. The record is from RefSeq and is a predicted model, not a curated record. NCBI's taxonomy places the organism in Eukaryota, Metazoa, Chordata, Actinopteri, Salmoniformes, Salmonidae. The transcript has 5 exons.